This 301-nucleotide ribosomal RNA is filed under the name uncultured bacterium. RNAcentral describes it as "partial 16S ribosomal RNA". It matches the Rfam family "Bacterial small subunit ribosomal RNA", at positions 509 to 808 of the family's 1533-position model. The record is from RNAcentral.
CAGCAGCCGCGGGAACACGUAGGUGGCGAGCGUUGUCCGGAAUUAUUGGGCGUAAAGGGAGCGCAGGCGGACAUAUAAGUCCAUCUUAAAAGUGCGGGGCUCAACCCCGCGAGGGGAUGGAAACUGUAUGCCUUGAGUGCAGGAGAGGAAAGCGGAACUCCCAGUGUAGCGGUGAAAUGCGUAGAUAUUGGGAGGAACACCAGUGGCGAAGGCGGCUUUCUGGACUGUAACUGACGCUGAGGCUCGAAAGCGUGGGGAGCAAACAGGAUUAGAUACCCCAGUAGUCCCUGUCUCUUAUACA